Molecule: ribosomal RNA, 253 nt
Filed under: uncultured bacterium
Lineage: Bacteria
Description: partial 16S ribosomal RNA
Rfam family: Bacterial small subunit ribosomal RNA
Source: RNAcentral
UACAGAGGUCCCAAGCGUUGUUCGGAUUCACUGGGCGUAAAGGGUGCGUAGGCGGCCGGGUAAGUCUAAUGUGAAAUCCCGCAGCUCAACUGCGGAACUGCAUCGGAUACUCUCCGGCUAGAGUUCGGUAGGGGAGACUGGAAUUCCUGGUGUAGCGGUGAAAUGCGCAGAUAUCAGGAGGAACACCGAUGGCGAAGGCAGGUCUCUGGGCCGAUACUGACGCUGAGGAGCGAAAGCGUGGGGAGCGAACAGG